Non-coding RNA from Pelobates cultripes (western spadefoot toad), 322 nucleotides. NCBI's taxonomy places the organism in Eukaryota, Metazoa, Chordata, Amphibia, Anura, Pelobatidae. The record is from the annotation of a GenBank genome assembly.
GUCGUAUUAAACUAAUAUAAUAUAAGUUAGCUAAAGGAGGAAUGAUGAACAAAUAAAUGAAGAGUGUACACAUAUUUUGCAUUAUAGGCCGUUGCAUGAAUAAGCGCUCCAAAAUAUUCCUAGUUGCUUUUUAGCUAAAGGCCACGUGGUCUAACAUAUAGUGCAGUUGACCUACUGAGAAGGUGCUCUGGUCAGGUACCUUAAAGGAUUGUCACCUGCGUGAACUGUAUGUCAUGUCUGGUGUCUGUAUGGAGUGUUUAUUCGUGAAUGAAUGACUUGAAAUAUUUAUGUUGGCCCACGGAUUGUGUGCUGUGUGGUCUUA